This 486-nucleotide ribosomal RNA is filed under the name uncultured bacterium. RNAcentral describes it as "partial 16S ribosomal RNA". It matches the Rfam family "Bacterial small subunit ribosomal RNA", at positions 28 to 507 of the family's 1533-position model. The record is from RNAcentral.
GAUGAACGCUGGCGGCGUGCCUAAUACAUGCAAGUCGAACGCUGGAAAUCUAGCUUGCUAGAUUGAAGGAGUGGCGAACGGGUGAGUAAUACAUAAGCAACCUACCCACGAAGACUGGGAUAAUCUCUGGAAACGGGGACUAAUACCGGAUAGGUAAUCGGAAGGCAUCUUCUGAUUAUUAAAGGUUAAAAACCCUGGUGGAUGGGCUUAUGGCGCAUUAGUUAGUUGGUGAGGUAACGGCCCACCAAGACGAUGAUGCGUAGCCGGCCUGAGAGGGUGAACGGCCACAUUGGGACUGAGACACGGCCCAGACUCCUACGGGAGGCAGCAGUAGGGAAUUUUCGGCAAUGGGGGAAACCCUGACCGAGCAACGCCGCGUGAGUGAUGACGGCCUUCGGGUUGUAAAGCUCUGUUGUAAGGGAAGAACGGUAGAUAGAGAAUAUCUAAAUGACGGUACCUUACCAGAAAGCCACGGCUAACUACGUG